RNAcentral lists this ribosomal RNA (253 nucleotides) under uncultured bacterium. Its description in RNAcentral is "partial 16S ribosomal RNA". It matches the Rfam family "Bacterial small subunit ribosomal RNA", at positions 524 to 776 of the family's 1533-position model. The record is from RNAcentral.
UACAGAGGUCUCAAGCGUUGUUCGGAUUCAUUGGGCGUAAAGGGUGCGUAGGCGGCGCGGUAAGUCGGGUGUGAAAUCUCGGAGCUUAACUCCGAAACUGCAUUCGAUACUGCCGUGCUUGAGGACUGGAGAGGAGACUGGAAUUUACGGUGUAGCGGUGAAAUGCGUAGAUAUCGAGAGGAACACCGGUGGCGAAGGCGGCCAACUGGACGAAUACUGACGCUGAGACACGAAAGCGUGGGGAGCAAACAGG